Non-coding RNA from Pelobates cultripes (western spadefoot toad), 312 nucleotides. Lineage: Eukaryota; Metazoa; Chordata; Amphibia; Anura; Pelobatidae. The record is from the annotation of a GenBank genome assembly.
CUAUUUUAGGAUAGACUGUGCAUCUUAGAACAAACUAUUAAUUGAUUUUUUUUUUUGUCAAUCUUUUAGUGUCAUUAUACUCUGCAAUUUGUAAAACUUUACAAGAGAUGCAUAAAUAUAAAUAUGUAACAGGCAAGCCAAAUAAUGAUAGAACACAUUAACAUUAUUACAUUACUACAGAAACAAUAGGCAAUAGAAGCGUGAGAUCCUCAAAGUUUCAUUGUCUUACUUUUGUUACAGUACUUUUUUACAUAUUCCAAGAUAUCACACUGCUUUUUAAGAAUGUUACAUUUCUCUUGCUAAUAAAAAAGU